UUACCCCUUUGACAUGGAAGAGAUUCCUCGGGCACAGGUGCUGCAUGGCUGUCGUCAGCUCGUGUCGUGAGAUGUUGGGUUAAGUCCCGCAACGAGCGCAACCCCGCUUUAGUUGCCACCAUUGGGACUCUAAAGGACUGCCGGAGUUAACGGAGGAAGGCGGGGAUGACGUCAAGUCCUCAUGGCCCUUACAGGGGGCUACACACGUGCUACAAUGGACUACAAGGGGCACAGCGAUGUGAGCAAUCCCAAAAUCGUCUCAGUUCGGAUUGUUCUCUGCAACUCGAGAGCAUGAAGUCGGAAUCGCUAGUAAUCGCGAUCAGUGCGCGGUGAAUACGUUCCCGGGCCUUGUACACACCGCCCGUCACACCAUGGGAGUUGGUUACCGAA
This 390-nucleotide ribosomal RNA is filed under the name uncultured bacterium. Its description in RNAcentral is "bacterial SSU rRNA". It matches the Rfam family "Bacterial small subunit ribosomal RNA", at positions 971 to 1425 of the family's 1533-position model. The record is from RNAcentral.